Molecule: unclassified non-coding RNA, 3013 nt
Organism: Orbicella faveolata
Lineage: Eukaryota; Metazoa; Cnidaria; Anthozoa; Scleractinia; Merulinidae
Source: RefSeq, a predicted model, not a curated record
ACGAAUAUAAACUGAUUUCUAAUCACCAGGGUAAGAGAAUGCAAACAGGGUUGUAAUUAGUUCGCACUUCAGUAACGAUGACCUUAUAAUCGUCGGCGACUGAUUCGGUCCCAUACGUUCAGCAUUACAUGGCUGAAUUUGACCCUAGCUAAAAACAAACGUUAUUCUACAUUGUCUAAUCUUAAACCAAGAAAUGAUACAUGUAACAUGUGGAAAGGCUUGCGGAGAAUUAAUUAAGAUCUGGGUUACGGACGACAACUUGAAAGGAAUUUGGGCGGAAUUUUAAUGUUAUAGAUGGAAUGCCAUUCAGUUUAAUCUCAACACGAACAGUGAUCUAAGCGGAUUCUAAGCAGAUUUUGGGCUUAACUCAAAGUAUAUAUCUAUGUGUAGAAAAACAAAACAAAACCAAAACGAACUCAUGAAAUGUGUUGCUGUUCUGAUACUAUUAUUCAUGACUGCUGGUUUUGUCCGUUUCAGUGAAAUGCAUUAUAAUAAUUAAGUUGGCCUUUCUUGAAUCAGUCCACUUUUUCUGUCAUUGAAUUGUAAUGUCUAAAUGGAUAUAAAUCUCCUUAAAAACUAGUUUCUCGUCUUCUUAGAAUACCCUUAUAUUAAUUGUUCUUGACUUUGUAAACUGAAAUUCCCGUUUAAUUUUGCAGUGGGCUGGCAUCAAAAGCGGCAUUUCUGAUCUAUGCAUGAUGGGUGAUCUGAAAGUACUAGCACUUCAAAAAUUGAUUUAUCCUUAUCAUGCUCAAGAAAUUCUUGUGAAGCAGGCCAAGACUUAGGAAACUUCUGUAAUGGCCUUUAUGAACAAAUGAAUGAAAUCUAAUGUAGCACCGUUUCAAGCUUACGUGUCAGCGUCACGGAUCAUAAAUCUUUAUACUACAUGCAAAAAUAACUUGAUCUAAUAACAGCUGAUGAACUUCUUGACUAUAUAUACGUCCUACUUUGAUGGUUACAUUGCACGAAAAAAUAAGUUCUUUCUCGGCUUUAAAUCGUUACCACUCUCAGUUUACUGACAGAUUUGAAACAAGUGGGUGUUUGCACUGAAUUUCCGGGAUAAUUUAUUAUGCAUGCAACAUCAUCAUAAACUGCACACGCACAACAUACCAUGAAAAUUUUGGUAAUUUUGGUUGAUGACAGGAAAAAAUGCUAAAAACGUAGCUAAGACUUCUCGUAAGAGCCAUUCUCACCCACUGGUUUUAUUAGAACAAUGAUCAGCUCGAUCGAGCAGCGCAAUGGAGUCUUUACUCAAGCCAGUCUCUAGACGCUCUAGGUAAACGCGAAAUACACGGAAGAGCUUGGGAGCAUAUAUACGCGUUGGGUGCUUCAGUGAGGUCCUAAUCAGGAAAUUUCGCCCGAUUGAGUUGAAAGAGAACGCCUAAAUACUAGAUUGGUCUCACUGAAUCCCCAACACCUCUAUGUGAGAUAUCUAUCAGUUUGUGUGUUAUUUCUUGUCAAGCUACGACGGCCAAAGAAAUCACAAGAGUAUUUACGAUUGUUACUUAGUUAAGCGGCGCAACGCGUAACGGCAUAGUGGAGUAAUACGUAUUCGAUCAGGACAGGCCUAACAUAUUUGUAAAACACAGGUUUCCAUCUUUAUUGAGGCGCAAAACUUAUGACCCCACUUUUAGUGUUCAAUGCUCAAUAAAUACUUCAAGCUGUCAGCUAAACUGACGCCUUUGGUUUGGAGAGACGUCAUCAGACUAGUCAACCAAAAAAUAUUCAACUCCUUAGUGUAAGCAUAUAACCUUGACUACAGGGGUGCCAUAGUAAUGAAUGGCGCUCGCUCUGGAGUAGAAAAGUACCAGAGUAACACAAAACAGCUGGUGUUAGUCAUAAAGUUGGCAAGCGAAGUCGAAAAAUCUAGCAUACGGGUCUAGCAGGCAACUAAAUCGUUGCUAAUUGCUGGCGCCUUUUAUAAAGGAAAGAAACCUCAUGAUUGUAGAUUACUAUCAUUAGAAUACGCCGCCAAAGAUGCUGUAUGGUGUUAAGAAGAUUUAGACGGGCUAUAGGAUCUGUCGACUGAAUUGGAUCGCAUUUAAAGUCAUACUUCAUCCGUGGCGCUGAAACGAACCAACGAAAGCUAGCGCUAGUUAACGCGUCUUCACAACACUGAUCAGCUUUUCCUAUGUUUCUCAAAUAAGCGCAUUUCACUGGAAUUUCAUGAGCAUGUUGUUCAAAUGAAAUUUCUAUGUGUGCUGUUUGUGUAUCCAAGCUGUGUUUACACAAGACUGCUUUGAUAAACUUCCACAUCACCAUUAUGCGUGAGGGAUUGGUUAAAAAUUCAGCCGUUGUUAUCAAGGUAACGUUGGAAUGUUAGUCUUCCUAACAGAAGUUUUCUAUCAGUUUUUGUUUUAUUUCCAGAUAAACUUGGUAGGUGUGCUAAGGUCGUACCAGGAGAAGAGAAAAAUUCGUCAAAAGCUUGGAUCAUUCGGUGCUAAGAAACUCUUGGCGGCAGGCAGGUGUUGAUUUUGUGACGGUGUAGCGGAACUUCCAGAGCAAGAAGUGUUACAGACAUGAUAAACUUGUUUCUCGUCCUGUUCUUUGGUUUCAAGCACAAUACGGUUUCUGCUGAAGAUUUGGGAGCUGUUUCUACCUGCUUACCAACACACAUGCGGAUGGAAGUGGACCGAACCAAAAAUCCCGACCUUGUGCCUGGGGAAAUGCAUCUUAAUGACCCCAACUACACUGCCACAGAAUUCAAUGACACCUUUGUCCUGUUUGAAAUACCACUGGAUGGCUGUGGAACAACACGAGAUGGAUCAAACCCAGACUAUUUACUUUUCUCUAAUACUGCUCACUGGGAUUCGCCAGGACAGCUUAUAACUUAUACAAAAGGAUUUAAGGCUCACAUCACUUGCAGAUACUCUAGACAUGGAUCUGUUGGUGUACGUGUGAGAGUUGUGCCUGAAACAGAGGAACCUCCAACAGAUCCAAAGGGUAAAUCCUGAUCAGCUUUUUCUCUUUUUGCGCAAUGUGAUUGGUGCAUAGAUUACUGCAAUCUGCAACUUAA